UUGGUCUCCGAUAGGAAGAUCCAAAACGCGCGCACCAGUUCGUUGUCGCGCACCGCAUCCAGUGACUGAACUCCGAGCCGUCUCAGCAUCGCCUCGGUGAAUUCCUUGCGGAUGGCCGGUUCAAACGCCCCCAGCGCCUUCUCGAGACCCGGCUGGUCAGCGAGGCCGAGCAGACAUUCCGCCAGCCGCGUGACGUUCCAGAACAAUGCAUCGGGCUGACGGCCAUAGGCAUAAAGCCCGGUCUCGUCGAAAUAUGCGGCGGUGAAACCCGGCUCCAGCACUGGAAGAAACCGCCACGGGCCGUAGUCGAAGCUUUCGCCGGUGAUAUUGAUGUUGUCGGUGUUGAGCACACCA
This 354-nucleotide unclassified non-coding RNA is filed under the name Hevea brasiliensis (rubber tree). The record is from RNAcentral. Lineage: Eukaryota; Viridiplantae; Streptophyta; Magnoliopsida; Malpighiales; Euphorbiaceae.